RNAcentral lists this transfer RNA (73 nucleotides) under Rhipicephalus sanguineus (brown dog tick). RNAcentral describes it as "transfer RNA lysine (anticodon CUU)". It matches the Rfam family "tRNA". Rfam says of the family: Transfer RNA (tRNA) molecules are approximately 80 nucleotides in length. Their secondary structure includes four short double-helical elements and three loops (D, anti-codon, and T loops). Further hydrogen bonds mediate the characteristic L-shaped molecular structure. tRNAs have two regions of fundamental functional importance: the anti-codon, which is responsible for specific mRNA codon recognition, and the 3' end, to which the tRNAs corresponding amino acid is attached (by aminoacyl-tRNA synthetases). tRNAs cope with the degeneracy of the genetic code in two manners: having more than one tRNA (with a specific anti-codon) for a particular amino acid; and 'wobble' base-pairing, i.e. permitting non-standard base-pairing at the 3rd anti-codon position. Lineage: Eukaryota; Metazoa; Arthropoda; Arachnida; Ixodida; Ixodidae. The record is from Rfam by way of RNAcentral.
GCCGCCGUAGCUCAAUUGGUAGAGCAUCGGGCGCUUUAUCCGAAGGUUGCAGGUUCGGUCCCUGCCGGCGGCA